CUUCAGCCUCCCAAAGUGCUGGGAUUAUAGGCGUGAGCCACUGUGCCCGGUCUUUUUCUUUAAUGUAGUAUUCACUGGGUUUUUUAAAUUAGUGUCAUAAGUCAGUUAUCCAAGUAGUUUUUCUCCUUUAUUUCAACAUUGACUUCUGACUUUUCCGAAUAUAGGAAUUCCUUCUGUCCUGUUAAGCAGUCCUUCGCUUUCUGCUUUUGGAUACUUAAGUGACCACCUCACUUUUUUGUGAUGCAGCUUGUUCAAUUUUUGGAUAGUUCUCGUGGACACAUGGAAAUGCUGAGUAGAACUAUGAUACAAAUCAGCUCACCAUAAAGUACAAUCUCCAGUGGCCAGAGAGAACUAAAAGGAAACUAAAAACCCGCAUGACACAGUUAACUUUGGGGCUUAAGAUGAGAUAAGGAGUGAUGGCGCUUGCCAGUAAUCCCAGCUAUUCCAGAGGUCGAGCUGGAAGGAUCCCUUGAGCCGAGUGCGAGGCUGCAUUGAACUAUUACCACACCACUGCACUCCAGCCUGGGCAACAGAGUGAGACCUCAUCUCUGGACAAGUGUUAUUUGUGACAGCACAAUGUUUGAUACAACCCAAAUGUUGAAUGAAAGUGGACCAGCUAAAUAAACCAUGAACAUUUACUCAA
This 643-nucleotide long non-coding RNA is filed under the name Homo sapiens (human). Its description in RNAcentral is "HSALNT0346837". Lineage: Eukaryota; Metazoa; Chordata; Mammalia; Primates; Hominidae. The record is from RNAcentral.